RNAcentral lists this transfer RNA (72 nucleotides) under Candidatus Woesebacteria bacterium. Its description in RNAcentral is "tRNA-Arg". It matches the Rfam family "tRNA". From Rfam's summary of the family: Transfer RNA (tRNA) molecules are approximately 80 nucleotides in length. RNAcentral also lists the same sequence under 2 other names. The record is from RNAcentral. Lineage: Bacteria; Candidatus Woeseibacteriota.
GACCCUGUAGUUCAACGGAUAGAAUAAGUCCCUUCUAAGGAUUAGAUCCGCGUUCGAUUCGCGGUGGGGUCA